GGUUAUUUAGUUUAAGAAAAAACUUAUGUUUUGAAAGCAUACUAUAGAGACAUUCUCUAAUAGCCG
RNAcentral lists this transfer RNA (66 nucleotides) under Neotrypaea japonica (Japanese ghost shrimp). RNAcentral describes it as "tRNA-Ser". Lineage: Eukaryota; Metazoa; Arthropoda; Malacostraca; Decapoda; Callianassidae. The record is from RNAcentral.